Molecule: transfer RNA, 73 nt
Filed under: Cafeteria roenbergensis
Lineage: Eukaryota; Bigyra; Bicosoecida; Cafeteriaceae
Description: tRNA-Val
Source: RNAcentral
CACUUCGGCCGGGCGUCGAUCCCGGGACCUCGCGCGUGUGAAGCGCGCGCUCUACCAACUGAGCUACCGAAGC